UUAAUAUUCCUGUACUUGGUGUUACUGCGAAGGGGGGACGGAGAAGGCUAUGUUGGCCGGGCGACGGUUGUCCCGGUUUAAGCGUGUAGGCUGGUUUUCCAGGCAAAUCCGGAAAAUCAAGGCUGAGGCGUGAUGACGAGGCACUACGGUGCUGAAGCAACAAAUGCCCUGCUUCCAGGAAAAGCCUCUAAGCAUCAGGUAACAUCAAAUCGUACCCCAAACCGACACAGGUGGUCAGGUAGAGAAUACCAAGGCGCUUGAGAGAACUCGGGUGAAGGAACUAGGCAAAAUGGUGCCGUAACUUCGGGAGAAGGCACGCUGAUAUGUAGGUGAAGCGACUUGCUCGUGGAGCUGAAAUCAGUCGAAGAUACCAGCUGGCUGCAACUGUUUAUUAAAAACACAGCACUGUGCAAACACGAAAGUGGACGUAUACGGUGUGACGCCUGCCCGGUGCCGGAAGGUUAAUUGAUGGGGUCAGCGCAAGCGAAGCUCUUGAUCGAAGCCCCGGUAAACGGCGGCCGUAACUAUAACGGUCCUAAGGUAGCGAAAUUCCUUGUCGGGUAAGUUCCGACCUGCACGAAUGGCGUAAUGAUGGCCAGGCUGUCUCCACCCGAGACUCAGUGAAAUUGAACUCGCUGUGAAGAUGCAGUGUACCCGCGGCAAGACGGAAAGACCCCGUGAACCUUUACUAUAGCUUGACACUGAACAUUGAGCCUUGAUGUGUAGGAUAGGUGGGAGGCUUUGAAGUGUGGACGCCAGUCUGCAUGGAGCCGACCUUGAAAUACCACCCUUUAAUGUUUGAUGUUCUAACGUGGACCCGUGAUCCGGGUUGCGGACAGUGUCUGGUGGGUAGUUUGACUGGGGCGGUCUCCUCCUAAAGAGUAACGGAGGAGCACGAAGGUUGGCUAAUCCUGGUCGGACAUCAGGAGGUUAGUGCAAUGGCAUAAGCCAGCUUGACUGCGAGCGUGACGGCGCGAGCAGGUGCGAAAGCAGGUCAUAGUGAUCCGGUGGUUCUGAAUGGAAGGGCCAUCGCUCAACGGAUAAAAGGUACUCCGGGGAUAACAGGCUGAUACCGCCCAAGAGUUCAUAUCGACGGCGGUGUUUGGCACCUCGAUGUCGGCUCAUCACAUCCUGGGGCUGAAGUAGGUCCCAAGGGUAUGGCUGUUCGCCAUUUAAAGUGGUACGCGAGCUGGGUUUAGAACGUCGUGAGACAGUUCGGUCCCUAUCUGCCGUGGGCGCUGGAGAACUGAGGGGG
This 1255-nucleotide ribosomal RNA is filed under the name Escherichia coli. RNAcentral's name for it is "partial 23S ribosomal RNA". It matches the Rfam family "Bacterial large subunit ribosomal RNA", at positions 1430 to 2670 of the family's 2925-position model. The record is from RNAcentral. Lineage: Bacteria; Pseudomonadati; Pseudomonadota; Gammaproteobacteria; Enterobacterales; Enterobacteriaceae.